UUUUCCUCUCCCCGUGCUCUCACCGCCACCCCCACGUCCUCUCUACUCGCUCUCUCUCUCCCUAAAACUACUCCACCACCAUCUUCGGCUUCCUCAGAAAAGAACUACCACCACUGUGUGGGAUCUUUCUCUCUCUAGUUUGUUACCACUUUCCACGCUUAACUGGCGAGAGAGGAGGAAGGAAGAGGGGAGGAGGCAGGAGGGGGUUACGUAUUUUUCCCCCCUUUCUUGCUUCUUGGCUCUUUAAUAUUCUUCUCGGGAUUGGCACCAAUCUUGCCUUCCUUCCCUAUAAAUACCGACCAUCAUCUCCACCACCACCACCAUUGCUCUCCUUCCUUUCUCUGUCCUUUCUUUCUUUUGCUUCUCUGCUGUUCAUGGUGGAUGGUUUCUUUUCGUGUUCUUGCUUUCCUUUUCCUUGGUUGGGCCUUUUGGGGAAAGGGAAGGGGGGAAGUGGGUGCUAAGUAGCGGAGAACAUGUGACUCUCUUUGUGCUUUUCCACAGCUUUCUUGAACUGCAAAGGGACGGCGGAUUGCGUGCUGUUGUGGCGAAGCACGAGUUGUUUGGUCGAUUGCGGUUCAAUAAAGCUGUGGGAAGAUGCAGAGAGAGUCAGAAGGCGACAUCGGCGCCUGUUUCUCUCCCAACCUGGUGGUGCUUCGAUUGUAUUCUGUACAAAAUCCUCGGGUGACAGAAGAGGAAACAAGAAGUCCAUCUCUCUCUCUUUUUUUCUCUUUUUCACAAACACGCACACACACGCAGACGCAGGCGCACAGAUAGUUGGUUGGCUUUAUGUGAAUUCCAGCAUGUUUUGUUGGGUAGUCUUCUCUUGGGAAGAUGAUGCACAGUCAGAAGAGAAGGCAACGACUGCUGUCUUCUCAGAAAGAAAUUUCUACAUGUUUCAUGGGUUGAGCGGCCAACAGUUUUUUCGAGGCACGAAACCUGAAGUUGAUGAAGAAAACUGUGCGGCGGCCUGAAAAAAUGAUCGAGCUUGCCUCAAAAGUCUGAAAAAAUGAUCGAGCUUGCCUCAAAAGUAACCCAACCUUUUUCAGAGAGCAGUACCCUGCCGAGAAGCACCGACUGAAGAAAAGACUUGGGCUCUCCCUUGAUGUUCGCCAUUUAUGCUAGGGCAAAGAAGCGAGAAUAAUUGACAUUGAAGCGUCACACUUCUUGUUUAUUAUCUUUUGAGAAGUUUUCAUUCAAUUCUUUCACAAAGCAGUAUUGGAAUGCACCCAUAGAUCGGGUUGUGAUGAAAUUUUUUGCUUCAUUUUCAAUGUUACGUAAUUGACAUGAAUGUGUCGUCCA
Long non-coding RNA from Nymphaea colorata (pocket water lily), 1299 nucleotides. RefSeq lists it as uncharacterized. The record is from RefSeq and is a predicted model, not a curated record. NCBI's taxonomy places the organism in Eukaryota, Viridiplantae, Streptophyta, Magnoliopsida, Nymphaeales, Nymphaeaceae. The transcript is spliced from 2 exons.